This 520-nucleotide unclassified non-coding RNA is filed under the name uncultured Diversispora. RNAcentral describes it as "SSU rRNA". It matches the Rfam family "Eukaryotic small subunit ribosomal RNA", at positions 569 to 1090 of the family's 1831-position model. The record is from RNAcentral. Lineage: Eukaryota; Fungi; Glomeromycota; Glomeromycetes; Diversisporales; Diversisporaceae.
AGCAGCCGCGGUGAUUCCAGCUCCAAUAGCGUAUAUUAAAGUUGUUGCAGUUAAAAGCUCGUAGUUGAACUUCGGGGUUCACCCAUUGGUCAGGCUUAAUUGUCUGUACUGGUGAGAUGAGUCUCUACCUUCUGAGGAACUUUCAUGCCAUUUAUUUGGUGUGGUGGGAAAUCAGGACUGUUACUUUGAAAAAUUAGAGUGUUUAAAGCAGGCUAACGUCUGAAUACAUUAGCAUGGAAUAAUGAAAUAGGACGGAUUGGUUCUAUUUCGUUGGUUUCUAGGGUCACCGUAAUGAUUAAUAGGGAUAGUUGGGGGCAUUAGUAUUCAAUUGUCAGAGGUGAAAUUCUUGGAUUUAUUGAAGACUAACUACUGCGAAAGCAUUUGCCAAGGAUGUUUUCAUUAAUCAAGAGCGAAAGUUAGGGGAUCGAAGACGAUCAGAUACCGUCGUAGUCUUAACCAUAAACUAUGCCGACUAGGGGUCGGACGCAGUUAAUUUUAUAAUGACGUGUUCGGCACCUUA